RNAcentral lists this long non-coding RNA (543 nucleotides) under Junco hyemalis (dark-eyed junco). RNAcentral describes it as "lncRNA (ENSJHYG00000017282.1)". Lineage: Eukaryota; Metazoa; Chordata; Aves; Passeriformes; Passerellidae. The record is from RNAcentral.
GUUUGAGCCCUGCCCCAACUGGAGGCAGGAGCUGCCUUUUCUGAGCAGUUGAGAUGUACCUUAAGAUGAUCAGCACAGUCAACAGCAAUUCUUGCACACUUUUUGGCAUUCAUUAAAAAAAUUUCUUGAAGGUUUUUGAAAUUUGCCUUCUUUGUGAUGGCUCAUGAAGCGUAACUUCCACCCAAGCUCCCACAAGCACUUGGCAGCCUGGCAAGGACACCUAUGAAGUACCAAUGCUUUAGCCAUGUGAGCAGAAGAGAAAGAUGGAUUUCACUAGAAAGCUCCAAACAGGUGAACAGCUUCAAGAAGUUACUUGCUCACCACCAACAGGCAGUGCAGUUCCUCCUUAGACAGGAUUUCUUCUGUGGUUUUGAUACUGUGAGACUCCAGACUGAAAAAUAGGAGUGGGAGAGUAGUUUAGGAAAUGCUCUGGCUGGAUGUUCAGUGCUUGGUGUGCCCAUUUCUGCCAGAGCAACAUGGAACUGGAGGUGUCCAGCUGAAACAUUUGUGUAUGUCUGUGUACAGCUCCAGUGGGAAUUUGUG